Medicago truncatula (barrel medic) is the source of this 102-nucleotide non-coding RNA. The record is from Rfam. NCBI's taxonomy places the organism in Eukaryota, Viridiplantae, Streptophyta, Magnoliopsida, Fabales, Fabaceae.
UAAUAAGUCGAUAUACUAUCUCAAAAUAUCUGAUACAGAAAAAAUUAGCAUGGCCCCUGCACAAGGAUGACACGCACAAAUCGAGAAAUGGUCCAAAUAUUU